Molecule: ribosomal RNA, 504 nt
Filed under: uncultured bacterium
Lineage: Bacteria
Description: bacterial SSU rRNA
Rfam family: Bacterial small subunit ribosomal RNA
Source: RNAcentral
AGUGGCGACCGGGUGAGUAACACGUGACUAACCUACCUUCGAGUGGGGGAUAACCUCGGGAAACCGGGGCUAAUACCGCAUAAUGCCUACGGGUUAAAGGAGCAAUUCGCUUGAAGAGGGGGUCGCGGCUGAUUAGCUAGUUGGCGGGGUAACGGCCCACCAAGGCGAUGAUCGGUAGCCGGCCUGAGAGGGCGCACGGCCACACUGGAACUGAAACACGGUCCAGACUCCUACGGGAGGCAGCAGUGGGGAAUUUUGCGCAAUGGGGGAAACCCUGACGCAGCAACGCCGCGUGGAGGAUGAAGUCCCUUGGGACGUAAACUCCUUUCGACCGGGACGAUAAUGACGGUACCGGUGGAAGAAGCCCCGGCUAACUUCGUGCCAGCAGCCGCGGUAAUACGAGGGGGGCGAGCGUUGUUCGGAAUUAUUGGGCGUAAAGGGCGCGUAGGCGGUGCGGUAAGUCACCUGUGAAACCUCUGGGCUCAACUCAGAGCCUGCAGGCGA